UCUAGUGGUAUUUAAUUAGAAUUUUAAAAGACUUUAAAAAAGUCUAGUGGUAUUCAAUCAAGACUCUUUACAACUUACAAAAAGUCUUGUGGUAUUCAAAAGUAUUCUAAUUUCGAUGGAUUGUUUAAAAAAUAGGAUUUUAAUGGAUUUUGAUGGACUUUUUAGUGAAUUUUGAGCUACAAAAAGUCUUUCCUCAUAUCAUGAGAUUUUGAUGGAUUCUCAUUUUUUUUAUUAUUU
This 237-nucleotide long non-coding RNA is filed under the name Trifolium pratense (red clover). RNAcentral describes it as "long non-coding RNA (TPRA_LNC001059)". Lineage: Eukaryota; Viridiplantae; Streptophyta; Magnoliopsida; Fabales; Fabaceae. The record is from RNAcentral.